CAGUCGCCACGGUAAAACGUAGGUGGCAAGCGUUGUCCGGAAUUAUUGGGCGUAAAGGGCUCGCAGGCGGUUUCUUAAGUCUGAUGUGAAAGCCCCCGGCUCAACCGGGGAGGGUCAUUGGAAAUUGGGAAACUUGAGUGCAGAAGAGGAGAGUGGAAUUCCACGUGUAGCGGUGAAAUGCGUAGAGAUGUGGAGGAACACCAGUGGCGAAGGCGACUCUCUGGUCUGUAACUGACGCUGAGGAGCGAAAGCGUGGGGAGCGAACAGGAUUAGAUACCCGCGUAGUCCCUGUCUCUUAUAA
This 301-nucleotide ribosomal RNA is filed under the name uncultured bacterium. Its description in RNAcentral is "partial 16S ribosomal RNA". It matches the Rfam family "Bacterial small subunit ribosomal RNA", at positions 509 to 809 of the family's 1533-position model. The record is from RNAcentral.